GAUGAACGCUGGCGGCGUGCCUAACACAUGCAAGUCGAACGGACAGACGAUGAGCUUGCGCCUCUGACGUUAGCGGCAGGCGUGUGAGUAACGCGUGUAUCACCUACCUAUAUUACUGGGAUCAUCACGGGAAACCGGAUCUUAUACCGGAGAAUCUAUUGCACCGUGGGGGUCAAUGGUAAAUUACGGCUUUGGUGUCUGUUAUAGAUGGUUCCGCGCUGUAUUAGAUAGUUGGUAGGGUAACGGCUUACUAAGGCGACGAUGCGUAGCCGAACUGAUAGGCUGAUAGGCCACAUGGGAAGGUAGACACGGUCAAGACUCCUACGGGAGGCAGCAGUCGGGAAUAUUAGGCAACGGGCGAAAGCAUGACGCAGCGAGCGCGAGUGUGUGAUGAAGGCGUUCGGGUCGUAAAGCCCUGUUAUGGGGGAAGAACAGCUGUCGCCUUAGACAUGGCGGUAUUGACGGUACCGAAUAAAAAAGCACCGGCUAACUACGUG
This 497-nucleotide ribosomal RNA is filed under the name uncultured bacterium. RNAcentral's name for it is "partial 16S ribosomal RNA". It matches the Rfam family "Bacterial small subunit ribosomal RNA", at positions 28 to 507 of the family's 1533-position model. The record is from RNAcentral.